Molecule: non-coding RNA, 333 nt
Organism: Paramuricea clavata
Lineage: Eukaryota; Metazoa; Cnidaria; Anthozoa; Malacalcyonacea; Plexauridae
Source: the annotation of a GenBank genome assembly
ACAACAUUGGUGGACUUACUUGUUUACUAUGUCAUUACUUCACUUUCGUAGAUUUUCAGGCCAUUUCGUUGAACCCGCCUUGUAUUGUAUAGAUCAUCUAAUAUUACCCACUACCAACAUGGCUGCCUACCUUUGCGUUAUUGGCAGUGGGUAAUAUUAGAUUUAGAUGAUAUACAAUACAAUACUGGCACGGGUCGGUACAAAACCUGGACCCCCACAUUUGGACCCCCUUAUGGACCCCCACAUGGACCCCAUUAUGGACCCUCAUAUGGGCCCCGGCCCCAUAUGUACCCCUUACAGUAAUUCAUUACAAAACAAGCAUAUAUUUUCAGG